GCUCCUGUAGUGUAGCUCGGUCCAUCAUUCCGGGUUUUCAUCCCGGCGACUCGGGUUCGAAUCCCGACAGGAGCACCA
This 78-nucleotide transfer RNA is filed under the name Thermoplasmatota archaeon. RNAcentral's name for it is "Candidatus Thermoplasmatota archaeon tRNA-Glu". It matches the Rfam family "tRNA". Rfam says of the family: Transfer RNA (tRNA) molecules are approximately 80 nucleotides in length. Their secondary structure includes four short double-helical elements and three loops (D, anti-codon, and T loops). RNAcentral also lists the same sequence under 1 other name. The record is from RNAcentral. Lineage: Archaea; Methanobacteriati; Thermoplasmatota.